RNAcentral lists this transfer RNA (73 nucleotides) under Candidatus Riflebacteria bacterium RBG_13_59_9. RNAcentral's name for it is "tRNA-Glu". It matches the Rfam family "tRNA". From Rfam's summary of the family: Transfer RNA (tRNA) molecules are approximately 80 nucleotides in length. Their secondary structure includes four short double-helical elements and three loops (D, anti-codon, and T loops). Further hydrogen bonds mediate the characteristic L-shaped molecular structure. tRNAs have two regions of fundamental functional importance: the anti-codon, which is responsible for specific mRNA codon recognition, and the 3' end, to which the tRNAs corresponding amino acid is attached (by aminoacyl-tRNA synthetases). tRNAs cope with the degeneracy of the genetic code in two manners: having more than one tRNA (with a specific anti-codon) for a particular amino acid; and 'wobble' base-pairing, i.e. permitting non-standard base-pairing at the 3rd anti-codon position. Lineage: Bacteria; Candidatus Rifleibacteriota. The record is from RNAcentral.
GGCCCCAUCGUCUAGUGGACUAGGACAUCACUCUUUCAAGGUGAAAACACGGGUUCAAUUCCCGUUGGGGCUA